RNAcentral lists this ribosomal RNA (434 nucleotides) under uncultured bacterium. RNAcentral describes it as "partial 16S ribosomal RNA". It matches the Rfam family "Bacterial small subunit ribosomal RNA", at positions 29 to 507 of the family's 1533-position model. The record is from RNAcentral.
AGCGAACGCUGGCGGCAGGCCUAACACAUGCAAGUCGAACGAACCUUUCGGGGUUAGUGGCGGACGGGUGAGUAACACGUGGGAACGUGCCUUUAGGUUCGGAAUAACUCAGGGAAACUUAUGCUAAUACCGAAUGUGCCCUUCGGGGGAAAGAUUAAUCGCCUUUAGAGCGGCCCGCGUCUGAUUAGCUAGUUGGUUGAGGUAAUGGCUCACCAAGGCGACGAUCAGUAGCUGGUCUGAGAGGAUGAUCAGCCACAUUGGGACUGAGACACGGCCCAAACUCCUACGGGAGGCAGCAGUGGGGAAUCUUGCGCAAUGGGCGAAAGCCUGACGCAGCCAUGCCGCGUGAAUGAUGAAGGUCUUAGGAUUGUAAAAUUCUUUCACCGGGGACGAUAAUGACGGUACCCGGAGAAGAAGCCCCGGCUAACUUCGUG